This 509-nucleotide ribosomal RNA is filed under the name uncultured archaeon. RNAcentral describes it as "bacterial SSU rRNA". It matches the Rfam family "Archaeal small subunit ribosomal RNA", at positions 346 to 859 of the family's 1478-position model. The record is from RNAcentral.
AACUUUGCAAUGCGGGAAACCGUGACAAGGGAACUCUGAGUGCCCGUAAAAUCGGGCUGUCCAUCGGUUUAAAUAACCGGUGAAGAAAGGGCCGGGCAAGACCGGUGCCAGCCGCCGCGGUAAUACCGGCGGCUCGAGUGGUGGCCACUAUUACUGGGCUUAAAGCGUUCGUAGCUGGUCUGUUAAGUCUCUGGGGAAAUCUUCCGGCUUAACCGGAAGGCGUCUCAGGGAUACUGGCAGACUAGGGACCGGGAGAGGUGAGAGGUACUCCAGGGGUAGGAGUGAAGUCCUGUAAUCCUUGGGGGACCACCUGUGGCGAAGGCGUCUCACCAGAACGGCUCCGACAGUGAGGGACGAAAGCUGGGGGAGCAAACCGGAUUAGAUACCCGGGUAGUCCCAGCUGUAAACGAUGCGCGUUAGGUGUAUCGGUGACCACGAGUCACCGAGGUGCCGAAGAGAAAUCGUGAAACGUGCCGCCUGGGAAGUACGGUCGCAAGGCUGAAACUUAA